This 329-nucleotide ribosomal RNA is filed under the name uncultured eukaryote. Its description in RNAcentral is "partial 18S ribosomal RNA". It matches the Rfam family "Eukaryotic small subunit ribosomal RNA", at positions 1470 to 1796 of the family's 1831-position model. The record is from RNAcentral.
CCCUUAGAUGUUCUGGGCUGCACGCGCGCUACACUGAAGCGUUCAACGAGUAUUCACCUUGCCCGGGAGGGUUGGGUAAUCUUUUGAAAACGCUUCGUGAUGGGGAUAGAUUAUUGCAAUUAUUAAUCUUCAACGAGGAAUUCCUAGUAAGCGCGAGUCAUCAGCUCGUGCUGAUUACGUCCCUGCCCUUUGUACACACCGCCCGUCGCUCCUACCGAUUGAAUGAUCCGGUGAGGCCCCCGGAAUGUGGUCACGGCUUUGGUUCGCCAAACUGAGAUCGCGUGAAGCUGUCCAAACCUUAUCAUUUAGAGGAAGGAGAAGUCGUAACA